GACGAACGCUGGCGGCGCGCUUAAUACAUGCAAGUCGAGCGAGAACCAGUCCUUCGGGACUGGGGAAAGCGGCGAACGGGUGAGUAACACGUGGGUAAUCUGCCCUCGGCACUGGGAUAGCCCGGGGAAACCCGGAUUAAUACCGGAUAGCCUUUCGAGCCUUCGGGCUCGUCAGAAAAGGUGGCUUCGGCUUCCGGCUGAGGAUGAGCCCGCGGCGGAUUAGCUUGUUGGUGAGGUAAUGGCUCACCAAGGCUCCGAUCUGUAGCUGGUCUGAGAGGACGAUCAGCCACACUGGGACUGAGACACGGCCCAGACUCCUACGGGAGGCAGCAGUGGGGAAUCUUAGACAAUGGGGGCAACCCUGAUCUAGCCAUGCCGCGUGAGUGAUGAAGGCCUUAGGGUUGUAAAGCUCUUUCAGCUGGGAAGAUAAUGACGGUACCAGCAGAAGAAGCCCCGGCUAACUCCGUGCCAGCCGCCGCCGUAAAAC
RNAcentral lists this ribosomal RNA (487 nucleotides) under uncultured bacterium. RNAcentral's name for it is "bacterial SSU rRNA". It matches the Rfam family "Bacterial small subunit ribosomal RNA", at positions 28 to 526 of the family's 1533-position model. The record is from RNAcentral.